GACGAACGCUGGCGGCGUGCUUAACACAUGCAAGUCGAACGGAAAGGCCCCUUUUGGGGUACUCUAGUGGCGAACGGGUGAGUAACACGUGAGUAACCUGCCCUUGACUUCGGGAUAACUUCAGGAAACUGGGGCUAAUACCGGAUAGGAAUCCUUGCUGCAUGGUGGGGGUUGUAAAGCUUCGGCGGUUUUGGAUGGACUCGCGGCUUAUCAGCUUGUUGGUGGGGUAGUGGCUUACCAAGGCUUUGACGGGUAACCGGCCUGAGAGGGCGACCGGCCACAUUGGGACUGAGAUAAGGCCCAGACUCCUACGGGAGGCAGAAGGGGGGAAUAUUGAACAAGGGGCGGAAGCCUGAUGAAGCAAGGCCGCGUGCGGGAGGACGGCCUUCGGGUUGAAAAACGCUUUCAGCAGGGGCGAAGCUUGUGGUGACGGUACCUGCAGAAGAAGCACCGGCUAACUACGUG
RNAcentral lists this ribosomal RNA (465 nucleotides) under uncultured bacterium. Its description in RNAcentral is "partial 16S ribosomal RNA". It matches the Rfam family "Bacterial small subunit ribosomal RNA", at positions 28 to 507 of the family's 1533-position model. The record is from RNAcentral.